This 253-nucleotide ribosomal RNA is filed under the name uncultured bacterium. RNAcentral's name for it is "partial 16S ribosomal RNA". It matches the Rfam family "Bacterial small subunit ribosomal RNA", at positions 524 to 776 of the family's 1533-position model. The record is from RNAcentral.
UACGGGGGGAGCAAGCGUUGUUCGGAUUUACUGGGCGUAAAGGGCUUGUAGGCGGCGUGACAAGUCACUUGUGAAAUCUCCGGGCUUAACUCGGAACGGUCAAGUGAUACUGUCGUGCUAGAGUACAGAAGGGGCAACUGGAAUUCUCGGUGUAGCGGUGAAAUGCGUAGAUAUCGGGAGGAACACCAGUGGCGAAGGCGACUUCUUGGCCUGUUCUUGACGCUGAGGCGCGAAAGCGUGGGGAGCAAACAGG